Molecule: transfer RNA, 66 nt
Filed under: Rhopalopsole subnigra
Lineage: Eukaryota; Metazoa; Arthropoda; Insecta; Plecoptera; Leuctridae
Description: tRNA-Phe
Source: RNAcentral
AUUUAAAUAGCUUAUAAUUAGAGCGUGGCUUUGAAGGUGCUAAGGAGGUUUUUAAACCUUUAAAUA